AACGAACGCUGGCGGCAGGCCUAACACAUGCAAGUCGAACGCUCCAGCAAUGGAGAGUGGCAGACGGGUGAGUAACGCGUGGGAACCUACCCUUUGGUUCGGAAUAGCCCAGGGAAACUUGGGGUAAUACCGGAUAAGCCCUUCGGGGGAAAGAUUUAUCGCCAUGGAGGGGCCCGCGUCGGAUUAGCUAGUUGGUGGGGUAAUGGCCUACCAAGGCGACGAUCCGUAGCUGGUCUGAGAGGAUGAUCAGCCACACUGGGACUGAGACACGGCCCAGACUCCUACGGGAGGCAGCAGUGGGGAAUAUUGGACAAUGGGCGCAAGCCUGAUCCAGCCAUGCCGCGUGGGUGACGAAGGCCUUCGGAUUGUAAAGCUCUUUUGGCGGGGACGAUAAUGACGGUACCCGCAGAAUAAGCACCGGCUAACUCCGUGCCAGCAGCCGCCGUAA
Molecule: ribosomal RNA, 448 nt
Filed under: uncultured bacterium
Lineage: Bacteria
Description: partial 16S ribosomal RNA
Rfam family: Bacterial small subunit ribosomal RNA
Source: RNAcentral